GCGCUUGUCAGGUUGGUGAUGACGAGCUAAGGCAACUCGCAACCAUGGCAGACUAGGAAUCUGAGAGUCGGACGUUCAAAUCGUUCCGGGCGCGCCA
RNAcentral lists this transfer RNA (97 nucleotides) under Bradyrhizobium sp. RNAcentral describes it as "tRNA-OTHER". Lineage: Bacteria; Pseudomonadati; Pseudomonadota; Alphaproteobacteria; Hyphomicrobiales; Nitrobacteraceae. The record is from RNAcentral.